This is a long non-coding RNA of Miniopterus natalensis, 545 nucleotides long. RefSeq lists it as uncharacterized. The record is from RefSeq and is a predicted model, not a curated record. Lineage: Eukaryota; Metazoa; Chordata; Mammalia; Chiroptera; Miniopteridae.
CUUGUCUGAGGAUGCUUGUAAGAAAGAGACCACCAAGUUACCUGGUGACACAUGGUGCUAGCUGGGAAAUGGUCCCAUGCAACAGAAUAGGCUUAGUUCCAGGCUUCAAAUGGAACAAUUCAGAUGCUGCCCAACCCCCAGCUAUUUGAAUCCUGGAAUAGUGUGGGGAGUGAGAGGGCUCAAACCUCUAACCUUGGCGUAUCGGGACAACACUCUAACCAACUGAACUACUCGGCCAGGCCUAUAAUAACUUGAUCAUCUGGUGAUUUAAAAGUCACAGGUAUGUGCCUAAGAAAAUAACUAAAAGAGCAAAAUAUGUUACACUUGCAUUUAAUGCAUGAGAAUUUGUGUUAACUAUAGAACCACUAAAGAUUUGAUUGCUUAGCAAUUCAUUCUAAGACUUAGUAUAAGACCUGUAUUUUUUUUUUUUUUAAAUAAAAAGACACCCAUUCUUAAAUAAGGAUUUAUCACUUUAUUGACCUGGACUGAUACAAACAAGCCAAUUGCCAGUGGCAAUCAGGUCCACAUUAUUGAAGACUGUAUUU